Molecule: ribosomal RNA, 392 nt
Filed under: uncultured bacterium
Lineage: Bacteria
Description: partial 16S ribosomal RNA
Rfam family: Bacterial small subunit ribosomal RNA
Source: RNAcentral
AUACGGAGGAUCCGAGCGUUAUCCGGAUUUAUUGGGUUUAAAGGGUGCGCAGGCGGCCAUUUAAGUCGGCGGUUAAAUCGUGGGGCUCAACCCCAUUCUGCCGUUGAUACUGGGUGGCUUGAUUGCGGUCGAGGUUGGCGGAAUUCGUUGUGUAGCGGUGAAAUGCAUAGAUAUGACGAAGAACACCGAUUGCGUAGGCAGCUGACCAGACCGCAAAUGACGCUCAUGCACGAAAGUGCGGGGAUCGAACAGGAUUAGAUACCCUGGUAGUCCGCACAGUAAACGAUGAAUACUUGUUUUCGGCGAUAUAAUGUCGGAGGCAAAGCGAAAGCGAUAAGUAUUCCACCUGGGGAGUACGCCGGCAACGGUGAAACUCAAAGGAAUUGGCGGGG